CUACGGGUUGUCCAGUGAGGAAUAUUGCACAAUGGGGGAAACCCUGAUGCAGCAACGCCGCGUGGAGGAUGACGCAUUUCGGUGUGUAAACUCCUUUUAUCAGAGAAGAAAAUGACGGUAUCUGAUGAAUAAGCUCCGGCUAACUCCGUGCCAGCAGCCGCGGUAAUACGGAGGGAGCAAGCGUUAUUCGGAAUCACUGGGCGUAAAGGACGCGUAGGCGGGUUUUUAAGUCAGGUGUGAAAUCCUAUGGCUCAACCAUAGAUCUGCACUUGAAACUGGGGACCUAGAGUAUGGAAGGGGCAGGUGGAAUUAGUGGUGUAGGGGUAAAAUCCGUAGAUAUCACUAGGAAUACCGAAAGCGAAGGCGACCUGCUGGGACAUUACUGACGCUGAGGCGUGAAAGCGUGGGGAGCAAACAGGAUUAGAUACCCUCGUAGUC
Molecule: ribosomal RNA, 438 nt
Filed under: uncultured bacterium
Lineage: Bacteria
Description: partial 16S ribosomal RNA
Rfam family: Bacterial small subunit ribosomal RNA
Source: RNAcentral